Long non-coding RNA from Eptesicus fuscus (big brown bat), 991 nucleotides. RefSeq lists it as uncharacterized. The record is from RefSeq and is a predicted model, not a curated record. The transcript is spliced from 5 exons. Lineage: Eukaryota; Metazoa; Chordata; Mammalia; Chiroptera; Vespertilionidae.
GCAAAGACAGACGGGGUCCCUGCCCUCAAGGCUGCCUGGGGCAGCUUCAGGACCUGGCCCCUUGUUUACAAAUCAGAAGCACCCCUGGGAGAAGAUGAGGACCAGGACACGACCAGGACUCAGGGGCUGGGCCAGAGUCAGAGGUGGCUGUCUCGCAAAAGGCCCAGGAUCCCCGUGGAUGUUCCAGGUCUGCCGACUCUCCAGCCUUAUGUUCCCCGCGGGCUAGACUUCAGAGGACAGCCCCUGUGAGCGGUUCCGGGCGCUCGAGUUCCCAACCGCAGGCAGCACGGGGAGUGGACGGUGCAUGGUGCCCCUCAGCCUGGGUUCUCACACCUGUUCCCAUCAACAGUGCUUGUCCUUCAAACUGGAUGGCGUAGUCUGGCUAGACUGGGUCAGCGGCCCUUUGGUUCAGGGUGGUCCUUUCCUCCCAGGGUCCCCGCCAGGCAGCUUAGAGAGCCGCAGGGAUGCUUCCAGUGACCGCUCACCUCGCGGCCUGAAGGGGCACAUCAUGCAGUUUCAGGCUCAGGCCUGGGAGUUUUCACGGAUUUGGGUUCCGAUCCAAUCUCCUCACUGACCAGCUCUGAGCACCUGGGUGAGCUACCCAUCCUCCGAGUCUGAAUUCCUGCAGCUUCCAGAUGGGGACAGGGCUGGGAGUUCCGGUCCAUCAUGCUCAGAGGACACGGGGUUUCUCCGACGCGGCCUGCUCCACCGCAGGCCCGAGAGCUUCCGCAGUGAGGACCUGAUGCCCAGCAGGGACACAGCACUCUGCCCCGCCCCAGGAUGCCAGCAACCCAGAACGCAGUACCUUCAGCCGCCAGGAGUACCCGCCACCCAGAAUGGGCCUCCCCACAAGGAGGCAUCCAGAAGAGGGGUGUGGCCCAGCCUCAGGCCUGGGGGUCCCUGUGCCCUCGGAGCAGAGGAUGGUCACCCUGGAGUAGUUCCUGGAGGAGCGUGACCAGGCUCCCCCUACUCUGUGUGUGGCCCUGGAGGG